RNAcentral lists this ribosomal RNA (428 nucleotides) under uncultured bacterium. RNAcentral describes it as "bacterial SSU rRNA". It matches the Rfam family "Bacterial small subunit ribosomal RNA", at positions 355 to 774 of the family's 1533-position model. The record is from RNAcentral.
UGGGGAAUUUUGGACAAUGGGCGAAAGCCUGAUCCAGCCAUGCCGCGUGCAGGAAGAAGGCCUUCGGGUUGUAAACUGCUUUAGUCUAGGAAAAAGGGGUGCGAGGUUAAUACCCUCGUGCUUUGAUGGUACUGGAAGAAUAAGCACCGGCUAACUACGUGCCAGCAGCCGCGGUAAUACGUAGGGUGCGAGCGUUAAUCGGAAUUACUGGGCGUAAAGCGUGCGCAGGCGGUCUUGUAAGACAGUCGUGAAAUCCCUGGGCUUAACCUAGGAACUGCGAUUGUGACUGCAAGGCUAGAGUGUGUCAGAGGGGGGUGGAAUUCCACGUGUAGCAGUGAAAUGCGUAGAGAUGUGGAGGAACACCGAUGGCGAAGGCAGCCCCCUGGGAUAACACUGACGCUCAUGCACGAAAGCGUGGGGAGCAAACA